AGAGAAAUGGCGGAGUGGUCAAUUGCGACAGUUCCAAAAAUUGUUUCAGCCCGUUGGAGUUCACGGGGAGUUCAAAUCCCUUUUUAUCUU
Molecule: transfer RNA, 90 nt
Filed under: Pellia epiphylla var. borealis
Lineage: Eukaryota; Viridiplantae; Streptophyta; Jungermanniopsida; Pelliales; Pelliaceae
Description: tRNA-Ser
Rfam family: tRNA
About the family: Transfer RNA (tRNA) molecules are approximately 80 nucleotides in length. Their secondary structure includes four short double-helical elements and three loops (D, anti-codon, and T loops). Further hydrogen bonds mediate the characteristic L-shaped molecular structure. tRNAs have two regions of fundamental functional importance: the anti-codon, which is responsible for specific mRNA codon recognition, and the 3' end, to which the tRNAs corresponding amino acid is attached (by aminoacyl-tRNA synthetases). tRNAs cope with the degeneracy of the genetic code in two manners: having more than one tRNA (with a specific anti-codon) for a particular amino acid; and 'wobble' base-pairing, i.e. permitting non-standard base-pairing at the 3rd anti-codon position.
Source: RNAcentral